AAAAUAAUCCUACCCUUUGUGAAUUUUGUUUGUUUGAAUAAUUUUUUUUUUUUAAAAAAUUAUUGGAGUCUUUCCCUUUAGAGUUUGCUUUUGAGUUUGUAAAGAAUUCGAAAACAUCUAAAGGGGAUGGUCAAUAAUUUUUUUUGAAAAAAGACAUUUUUUAAAAUUAAACUUUUUGUAUUCAUUUGUCUAAAAAUUAUUUUUAUAAUAUAAAAACAACUUUUGACAAUGGAUCUCUUGGUUCUCGCAACGAUGAAGAACGCAACAAAAUGCGAUAAGUAGUGUGAAUUGCAGAAUACGUGAAUCAUCGAAUCUUUGAACGCAUAUUGCACUUUUUUAGUUUACUAAAAAAGUAUGUCUGUUUGAGUAUCAGUAAAAUAUUCUCAUAAAAAUCAUUGUAUUUUUAUGGUUAUGAGUGUUUUACAACGAUACAAGUUGUUUCACUUUAAAUUUUUUUUUAAUAUUGAAAUUUUCUAAUUUUAAUAAUUAAAAUUGGAUAAAAUUUUCCCGUCAAAAGGAAUAACCUAAACAAUUUUAAAUGAUUAACUUUAGCAAAAUUUUCGAAAAAAGGAAAAUUUUUAUUAAAAUAACUUGAUCUCAAAUCAGAUAAGAGUACCCGCUGAACUUAAGCAUAUCAAUAAGCGGAGGAAAAGAAACUAACAAGGAUUCCCUUAGUAACGGCGAGUGAAGCGGGAAGAGCUCAAAUUUGAAAUCUUCAAGGUUUUACCUUGACGAAUUGUAGUUUAAAGAAGUGUUUUCUGCUGAAGUUUUGGUAAAAGUUCUUUGGAAUAGGACAUCAUAGAGGGUGAGAAUCCCGUAUUUGACCAUUAUUUUCAGCUUUGUGAUACACUUUCAAAGAGUCGGAUUGUUUGGGAAUGCAGUCCAAAAUGGGUGGUAAAUUUCAUCUAAAGCUAAAUAUUGGCGAGAGACCGAUAGCGAACAAGUACCGUGAGGGAAAGAUGAAAAGAACUUUGAAAAGAGAGUUAAACAGUACGUGAAAUUGUCAAAAGGGAAGCGUUUGACACCAGUGUUGUUUUCUCGAAAAUCAAUUAAAAAUGGCUCGAUUUUGUAUUGCUGAGACCUUAAAAGCUCACUGUACAUUUUUCGUGUCUUUUUUAAUGCACUUUUCGUUUAACAAGUCUACAUCAGUUUCUUUUGUUGUAAAAGGGUCAUUGGAAGGUGGCUUUCUUUUCGGAGAAAGUGUUUAUAGCCUUUGGCCUCUGCAAUCGAAGAGACUGAGGUCUGC
RNAcentral lists this unclassified non-coding RNA (1246 nucleotides) under uncultured Neocallimastigales. RNAcentral's name for it is "partial contains internal transcribed spacer 1, 5.8S ribosomal RNA, internal transcribed spacer 2, and large subunit ribosomal RNA". The stretch from base 593 to 1246 matches the Rfam family "Eukaryotic large subunit ribosomal RNA", at positions 1 to 610 of the family's 3401-position model. Lineage: Eukaryota; Fungi; Neocallimastigomycota; Neocallimastigomycetes; Neocallimastigales. The record is from RNAcentral.